CCAUCGAGUGGAGCGAGACCAUGGCCUCUUUUUGUCCGGCAAAAAGGAUAAUCCAGAAAGGCUCUGGAACCAAGGGUGCCGGAAAAUCGGUGGUGGACCUGCACAUGGCAGCAUCUUUGACUGGUUUCAUCACGGC
Molecule: long non-coding RNA, 136 nt
Organism: Amblyraja radiata (thorny skate)
Lineage: Eukaryota; Metazoa; Chordata; Chondrichthyes; Rajiformes; Rajidae
Exons: 3
Source: RefSeq, a predicted model, not a curated record